UCUGGUCUUGGGACACUGUCAGGUGGGCAGUUUGACUGGGGCGGUCGCCCCCCAAAAGGUAACGGAGGCGCCCAAAGGUUCUAUCAGUACGGUCGGAAAUAGUACGUAGAGUGUAAAGGCAAAAGAGGGCUUGAUUGCAAGACAUACAGGUCGAGCAAGGAUGAAAAUCGGACUUAGUGAUCCGGUGGUUCUGCGUGGAAGGGCCAUCGCUCAACGGAUAAAAGCUACCCUGGGGAUAACAGGCUUAUCUCCCCCAAGAGUCCACAUCGACGGGGAGGUUUGGCACCUCGAUGUCGGCUCAUCACAUCCUGGGGCUGUAGUAGGUCCCAAGGGUUGGGCUGUUCGCCCAUUAAAGUGGUACGCGAGCUGGGUUCAGAACGUCGUGAGACAGUUCGGUCCCUAUCCGUCGCAGGCGUAGGAAAUUUGAGAAG
This 431-nucleotide ribosomal RNA is filed under the name Clostridioides difficile. RNAcentral describes it as "bacterial LSU rRNA". It matches the Rfam family "Bacterial large subunit ribosomal RNA", at positions 2239 to 2669 of the family's 2925-position model. Lineage: Bacteria; Bacillati; Bacillota; Clostridia; Peptostreptococcales; Peptostreptococcaceae. The record is from RNAcentral.